GGGCUUCUGCAGAAGCUGAGCGGUGCUGGCUCAGAGCAGCCAGGGCUUAUCCAAGGAAGAGAACCCCUCCACGCAGCCUCCACGCACCUCUCUGAAGAGUGACCCAUACCUCGUCACCCACUGGCUUCAAGAUCGCCACUGACCCCCCGCCUUUUCCUGCAAGGAGCACCGCAGCCUGCAGGGUCAGCUCCAUCCUCCAGAGUCCUCCGGAUGCAGCCCGGCCUGAAGUCCUUCCUGAACACCUGUCGUCAGGCUCCAAGGCGCUAAGGAUCACGAGAGUGCCUGUCUGUCCAGUGGUGUCCCCCUGCCACAGCUGUCGCCCACCCACCUUCAAGCAGAACAGAGCAGAGGGUCGAGUCUCUGUCGCAUCAGCUUUAGAUUCCCGCCUCCCUGUCCUGGGCCGCUCGCCACACCUUCGUCCUGGCGGUUCCCGCCAGCUUGUUCACAAACCGAAGGCCUCAGGUUUCUCUCCCCAGACUGUCCCAGCGUCCCCUUCAGAGAGGAGGCUGGCGUCUGAAGUCCCCCGUCCCAGUUGGAAUUAGCCGCUUCGCCCUGGAAUCUAGCUUGCUCCCCUGGGUCUGUCACAAAUAGGGACCCGGCCGAAAUGUGUCAUCAUGCAAGACAGUCCUUCCUGGAACUCAAUCUGAGUGGCUUUUUGCAAAAACAGGAGACGAGCAGACAACAUCUCUCCCAACCUUGAUAACCACGUCAAGACGGGGCUCAGGCACUCCUGACCCUCCCCCAAUUAAAUAACCUCAAUUCCUUUCCUCAAAAGGAUCACCUGGAGCUCCCGUGGUGGCUCGGUAGUAACGAACCCAACUAGUAUCCCUGGCCUUGCUCAGUGGGUUAAGGAUCCAGUGUUGCCGUGAGCUGUGGUGUUGGUGGCAGAUGUGGCUCAGAUCUGGCGGAGGCUGAGCUGCAGCUUCAAUUCAACCCCUAGCCUGGGAACUUCCAUACACCAUGGAGCAGAGGCGCGGGGGUGAGACAUCCUGGAGGCCAGCUGGGAGGAGGCCUGUGCCUCCGGGAUGGGGCCCAGAGAGCAAGUCUUCAGUGCACGUGGCCUGCUUCUCUCAGUCAACCAUGGGGAGCUGCUUAGAGGCUUGGAGCAGGGGAACAGCAGAGUCCCCAUUUUGACCCUGGGAUACAAUGGCUCUGGCCUCAGUUGUAACUGGGUCCGCGCUGUGUCCUUACGUAGCCAAAUGCCACUCUCCACGCCAAACUGUCACUCUUGUCUCAUUCCACUUUGCCCUCACCACAGGUCUGUGGCAUCACCUUUCUGAUGCACACAGACAACAGUCAACGGAGGGGUGACUUUUCUAGCAACUGUGCAUAUUGUGUUUUUGCUUGGUUGCAGCAUGACAGUGGAAUCUCUCAUAAUCAGCUUCAACUGGUUCCAAGCCAGGGGACCCCAGGGCACUGGCCCAGGAUGGUUGGAGUUCACGCCGGCUUAUGCUGCUGUUCUUGCUGGUGAAUGGUGUCCCCUGCUUCUCUCACAAAUGUCCUGCUUUGGAAAAUAAGUCAUAUGGCUACUUAUGACUUUUAUGUUUGGAAAAUUGAGGCUGGGGGCUGCUGUAUUCUGUGCAUUUAUCCCCCAGGGGGCCCUGUCCAUGGGCUUUUUGGAGGAGAGCAGAGACUGGACCCCAAAUUUUUUUAUUGCUUAGCCUUGCAAAUGCUGGAUGGGGUGGCCACGGGGUGCAAAUUUCCCCUUUGCUCAAGAAUUGGACAAAACCCCAAGAAUACAAAGAGCUAUGUGCCCCCAAAUUCCUGGGAAGCCUCCAACAACUGGGGCGGACUUGGAGGCAGCAUAACCCCUCGGUGACUCUCCAGCACCCCUGCACCCUUACUGCCAGCCUAGGGGAGAGCAGGGAGGGGCAGGUCAGCCCUGGGGGGCCCGAGCUCCCAGUUAGAGGCUCCCCCUCUCCUCCGGCCUCCAAGAGCAUCUCUGCUGAGGCCAGGGGUGCCUGGCCAAGCUCAAACCCCACUCCCAGGGCAGAUGUCCGCUCAGGACGCAGGGAGACGGGAGUGGCUGAGAACUUUGUCUUCAACUGUAAUUUCAAAAACAGCGCAAAGUGACCUUCGGGGCUCCUUUCUGGCAAUAGCAGAUUAUGGGUCCAUGAACAUGACAGAUGCCAUGUCCAGGCCUCAUAAAGUAACAAGCCCCUGCACCAGGAUCCCAGGCAGUGUCCACACGGCUCCAACUGGGACUUUCACCUGCCGCCUCUGGCUCCUUUUCUUCCCCAACCAGAUGCUCAUUAAUCCAGUCAGGUGUGCUUGGCUGGAAGCCCAGGGGACCGAGGCACCAACUGAUGGGUCUUUCGCUGGAACUGCUGAAGGGCACGCAGCACCUUUUCUUCCAAAGUCC
RNAcentral lists this long non-coding RNA (2362 nucleotides) under Sus scrofa (pig). RNAcentral's name for it is "lncRNA (ENSSSCG00005022904.1)". Lineage: Eukaryota; Metazoa; Chordata; Mammalia; Artiodactyla; Suidae. The record is from RNAcentral.